RNAcentral lists this ribosomal RNA (762 nucleotides) under uncultured archaeon. RNAcentral describes it as "bacterial SSU rRNA". It matches the Rfam family "Archaeal small subunit ribosomal RNA", at positions 111 to 879 of the family's 1478-position model. The record is from RNAcentral.
CCCCUCGUCGGGGAUACCCGGGAACUGGGUAUAAUACCCGAUAGAUCUCGGCUGCUGGAAUGCAUCGAGAUCUAAAGCUCCGGCGCCUGAGGAUGGGUCUGCGGCCUAUCAGGUAGUAGUGGGUGUAGCGUACCUACUAGCCUACGACGGGUACGGGUUGUGAGAGCAAGAGCCCGGAGAUGGAUUCUGAGACACGAAUCCAGGCCCUACGGGGUGCAGCAGGCGCGAAAACUUUACAAUGCCGGCAACGGCGAUAAGGGGACCUCGAGUGCCAGGUUACAAAUCUGGCUGUCGUGAUGCCUAAAAAGCAUUGCAUAGCAAGGGCCGGGCAAGACCGGUGCCAGCCGCCGCGGUAACACCGGCGGCUCGAGUGGUAACCGUUAUUAUUGGGUCUAAAGGGUCUGUAGCCGGCCGGAUAAGUCUCUUGGGAAAUCCAGCAGCUUAACUGUUGGGCUUUCAGGAGAUACUGUCUGGCUCGAGGCCGGGAGAGGUGAGAGGUACUUCAGGGGUAGGGGUGAAAUCUUGUAAUCCUUGAAGGACCACCAGUGGCGAAGGCGUCUCACCAGAACGGACCUGACGGCAAGGGACGAAAGCUAGGGGCACGAACCGGAUUAGAUACCCGGGUAGUCCUAGCCGUAAACGAUACUCGCUAGGUGUCGGCCACGGUGCGACCGUUGUCGGUGCCGUAGGGAAGCCGUGAAGCGAGCCACCUGGGAAGUACGGCCGCAAGGCUGAAACUUAAAGGAAUUGGCGGGGGAGCAC